GGAGCUGUAGUGAAACUAUGAAUACGUGAUAAAGGACGAGUAAUAAAAUAUUAAAGAAAUGCACUUGGCCAAAAGGAGACAGAGCCCAUAAAGACAUUAAGUCACUAGAAAGGAAAAAAGCAAAAGCAAAAUUAUCAUGAAAUUAGUUAAUCAAAAGUAACGUCUGAAGAAUAGAAAAAUGCACAUAUGCCAAAAGAGCUAAGUCGAAAUGCCCAACAAUAAAUCUAAACUUGCAGCUUGACGAGUUUAAUGCAAACAGCGGACAAGAAAAGUGAACGGCAACACAGCUAUCAGGUGUC
RNAcentral lists this unclassified non-coding RNA (299 nucleotides) under Hevea brasiliensis (rubber tree). The record is from RNAcentral. Lineage: Eukaryota; Viridiplantae; Streptophyta; Magnoliopsida; Malpighiales; Euphorbiaceae.